This 253-nucleotide ribosomal RNA is filed under the name uncultured bacterium. RNAcentral's name for it is "partial 16S ribosomal RNA". It matches the Rfam family "Bacterial small subunit ribosomal RNA", at positions 524 to 776 of the family's 1533-position model. The record is from RNAcentral.
GACAGAGGAUGCAAGCGUUAUCCGGAAUGAUUGGGCGUAAAGCGUCUGUAGGUGGCUUUUUAAGUCCGCCGUCAAAUCCCAGGGCUCAACCCUGGACAGGCGGUGGGAACUACCAAGCUGGAGUACGGUAGGGGCAGAGGGAAUUUCCGGUGGAGCGGUGGAAUGCGUAGAGAUCGGAAAGAACACCAACGGCGAAAGCAGUCUGCUGGGCCAACACUGACACUGAGAGACGAAAGCUAGGGGAGCGAAUGGG